AGAGUUUGAUCCUGGCUCAGGAUAAACGCUGGCGGCGCACAUAAGACAUGCAAGUCGAACGGACUUAACCAUUAGUUUACUAUUGGAGCGGUUAGUGGCGGACUGGUGAGUAACACGUAAGCAACCUGCCUAUCAGAGGGGAACAACAGUUAGAAAUGACUGCUAAUACCGCAUAUACCCAAGUGUCACAUGGCACAAUGGGGGAAAGAGCAAUCCGCUGAUAGAUGGGCUUGCGU
RNAcentral lists this ribosomal RNA (236 nucleotides) under uncultured bacterium. RNAcentral's name for it is "partial 16S ribosomal RNA". It matches the Rfam family "Bacterial small subunit ribosomal RNA", at positions 8 to 236 of the family's 1533-position model. The record is from RNAcentral.